UUUUUUUUAGACUAGCCAUGCACGUCUAAGUACAAACUAAAUGAUGGUGAAACUGCAAAUGGCUCAUUACAACGGUUAUGAUGUACCCGGGAGUUCCGAUGGAUAUUUCCAGUAACACUAGAACUAAUACAUGUCCCUGCGUUUAUUAGUUUCGCACAGUCCGUCGCUGAGUCAUGGUAAACAGUUGAUCGACUCGACGUCCCGGAACAGUUUCCGCCCCAUCAGCUUCGAUGGUUGGGUAUUGGCCUACCAUUGCAACAACGGGUAACGAGGAAUUAGGGUUUGAUUUCGGAGAGGGAGCCUGAGAAACGGCUACCACAUCUACGGAUGGCAGCAGGCGCGCAAAUUACCCAAUGCAGACACUGUGAGGUAGUGACGAGAAAUAAUAAAGCGGGACUUCUGUUUCGCUAUUAUAAUGAGGAAUAACCAAAGGUCAUUCCGAUUAGCAACUGAUGGGAAAGUCUGGUGCCAGCAGCCGCGGUAAUACCAGCGUCAGUAGC
This 500-nucleotide ribosomal RNA is filed under the name uncultured Myrionecta. RNAcentral describes it as "SSU rRNA". It matches the Rfam family "Eukaryotic small subunit ribosomal RNA", at positions 33 to 598 of the family's 1831-position model. The record is from RNAcentral. Lineage: Eukaryota; Ciliophora; Litostomatea; Cyclotrichida; Mesodiniidae.